Long non-coding RNA from Beta vulgaris subsp. vulgaris (sugar beet), 674 nucleotides. RefSeq lists it as uncharacterized. NCBI's taxonomy places the organism in Eukaryota, Viridiplantae, Streptophyta, Magnoliopsida, Caryophyllales, Amaranthaceae. The record is from RefSeq and is a predicted model, not a curated record. The transcript has 2 exons.
CACAACAAGAAUCCGCCUUUUUAGCGUCUGCAUUUAGCGUCCGACGAUACAAGCGGACGGUAAAUUUAAAAUUAGCGUCCGAUUAAAGACAGAUGCAAAUUAGCGUCCGCUUUUUGAGAUUUAGCGUCCGUUUAAAAAAACGGACGCUAAUUAGCGUCCGUUUAGUUAAAAUACCGUCCGUUAGACGGACGCUAAAUAAGAGGUAUAAAUUAAAAAAAAAAACCUCCAGUCGACCAAAUUAUCAACCCUAACACACGCCUCUCUCUUCCUCACUCUCAUCUCACGUUUCUCUCUCUUCCUCACUCUCAUCUCACAUUUUGGUGCUCUCUCUUUCUUGUAGAUCUCACGAAAUCAGGGUUAUGAGAUUUGCGUUUGAGUUCCAGAUUUGAAGUUGGUUUCGAUCCAGAUACCAGAUUUAAAGUCCGUUUUGGUUCCAGAUUUUUGUUGUGGAGUUUAAAGUGUACAUGUAAUUAAAUGGGAUUUGUAUUAGAUUUUGUUCGAAGUAUACUAGAAUUUAGUUCUAGAAUUAUUUUUUCACUUGUAAUUACAUUUAUUAUCAAUAAUAAUUGAAUUGAUUAAUUUGUUUGCCUUAAUAAAAGAAGUAUGGUAUUUGCAUCAUUCCAUAUAUUAUUACAUUUAAUAUCAAAAAGCUAUUACAUUUAAUAUUAGUUAAA